CCCUUAGAUGUUCUGGGCCGCACGCGCGCUACACUGAUGCAUUCAACGAGCCUAUCCUUGACCGACAGGUCCGGGUAAUCUUUGAAUCUGCAUCGUGACGGGGAUAGAUUAUUGCAAUUAUUAAUCUUCAACGAGGAAUGCCUAGUAGGCGCAAGUCAUCAGCUUGCGUCGAUUACGUCCCUGCCCUUUGUACACGCCGCCCGUCGCUCCUACCGAUUGGGUGUGCUGGUGAAAUGUUCGGAUCGGCCGUUUGUCGCGGUUUCCGCGUCAUGUGGCUGAGAAGUUCAUUAAACCCUCCCACCUAGAGGAAGGAGAAGUCGUAACA
Molecule: ribosomal RNA, 325 nt
Filed under: uncultured eukaryote
Lineage: Eukaryota
Description: partial 18S ribosomal RNA
Rfam family: Eukaryotic small subunit ribosomal RNA
Source: RNAcentral